AGAGUUUGAUCAUGGCUCAGAUUGAACGCUGGCGGCAGGCCUAACACAUGCAAGUCGAGCGGUAGCACAGAGAGCUUGCUCUCGGGUGACGAGCGGCGGACGGGUGAGUAAUGUCUGGGAAACUGCCUGAUGGAGGGGGAUAACUACUGGAAACGGUAGCUAAUACCGCAUAAUGUCGUAAGACCAAAGUGGGGGACCUUCGGGCCUCAUGCCAUCAGAUGUGCCCAGAUGGGAUUAGCUAGUAGGUGGGGUAACGGCUCACCUAGGCGACGAUCCCUAGCUGGUCUGAGAGGAUGACCAGCCACACUGGAACUGAGACACGGUCCAGACUCCUACGGGAGGCAGCAGUGGGGAAUAUUGCACAAUGGGCGCAAGCCUGAUGCAGCCAUGCCGCGUGUGUGAAGAAGGCCUUCGGGUUGUAAAGCACUUUCAGCGGGGAGGAAGGCGUUAAGGUUAAUAACCUUGGCGAUUGACGUUACCCGCAGAAGAAGCACCGGCUAACUCCGUGCCAGCAGCCGCGGUAAUACGGAGGGUGCAAGCGUUAAUCGGAAUUACUGGGCGUAAAGCGCACGCAGGCGGUCUGUCAAGUCGGAUGUGAAAUCCCCGGGCUCAACCUGGGAACUGCAUUCGAAACUGGCAGGCUAGAGUCUUGUAGAGGGGGGUAGAAUUCCAGGUGUAGCGGUGAAAUGCGUAGAGAUCUGGAGGAAUACCGGUGGCGAAGGCGGCCCCCUGGACAAAGACUGACGCUCAGGUGCGAAAGCGUGGGGAGCAAACAGGAUUAGAUACCCUGGUAGUCCACGCCGUAAACGAUGUCGAUUUGGAGGUUGUGCCCUUGAGGCGUGGCUUCCGGAGCUAACGCGUUAAAUCGACCGCCUGGGGAGUACGGCCGCAAGGUUAAAACUCAAAUGAAUUGACGGGGGCCCGCACAAGCGGUGGAGCAUGUGGUUUAAUUCGAUGCAACGCGAAGAACCUUACCUGGUCUUGACAUCCACAGAACUUAGCAGAGAUGCUUUGGUGCCUUCGGGAACUGUGAGACAGGUGCUGCAUGGCUGUCGUCAGCUCGUGUUGUGAAAUGUUGGGUUAAGUCCCGCAACGAGCGCAACCCUUAUCCUUUGUUGCCAGCGGUCCGGCCGGGAACUCAAAGGAGACUGCCAGUGAUAAACUGGAGGAAGGUGGGGAUGACGUCAAGUCAUCAUGGCCCUUACGACCAGGGCUACACACGUGCUACAAUGGCAUAUACAAAGAGAAGCGACCUCGCGAGAGCAAGCGGACCUCAUAAAGUAUGUCGUAGUCCGGAUUGGAGUCUGCAACUCGACUCCAUGAAGUCGGAAUCGCUAGUAAUCGUAGAUCAGAAUGCUACGGUGAAUACGUUCCCGGGCCUUGUACACACCGCCCGUCACACCAUGGGAGUGGGUUGCAAAAGAAGUAGGUAGCUUAACCUUCGGGAGGGCGCUUACCACUUUGUGAUUCAUGACUGGGGUGAAGUCGUAACAAGGUAACCGUAGGGGAACCUGCGGUUGGAUCACCU
This 1528-nucleotide ribosomal RNA is filed under the name Klebsiella pneumoniae. RNAcentral describes it as "bacterial SSU rRNA". It matches the Rfam family "Bacterial small subunit ribosomal RNA". The record is from RNAcentral. Lineage: Bacteria; Pseudomonadati; Pseudomonadota; Gammaproteobacteria; Enterobacterales; Enterobacteriaceae.